AGUCUAUGCCAUACCAUCCUGAAUGUGCCCAAUCUUGCCUGAUACUGGAAGCUAAGCAGGGCUGGGCCUGUUUAGUACUUGGAGGAUUGGGGGGAGGGAGAAAGAGCUAUUUAUAUCU
Molecule: ribosomal RNA, 118 nt
Organism: Ursus americanus (American black bear)
Lineage: Eukaryota; Metazoa; Chordata; Mammalia; Carnivora; Ursidae
Source: Ensembl